RNAcentral lists this transfer RNA (72 nucleotides) under Stegodyphus mimosarum. It matches the Rfam family "tRNA". From Rfam's summary of the family: Transfer RNA (tRNA) molecules are approximately 80 nucleotides in length. The record is from Rfam by way of RNAcentral. Lineage: Eukaryota; Metazoa; Arthropoda; Arachnida; Araneae; Eresidae.
GCUUUCGUAGUGUAAUGGUCAGCACGCUCGACGCGUAACCGAGAGGUCCGUGGUUCGAUUCCAGCUAAGGCG